Molecule: transfer RNA, 73 nt
Filed under: Mus musculus (house mouse)
Lineage: Eukaryota; Metazoa; Chordata; Mammalia; Rodentia; Muridae
Description: tRNA-Ser
Source: RNAcentral
GUCGAGAUGGCUCAGUGGUUAAGAGCGUCGACUGCUCUUCUGAAGGUCCCGAGUUCAAAUCCCAGCAACCACA